GUGAAUCAUCGAAUUUUUGAACGCAAAUUGCACUCUCUGGUAUUCCGGAGAGUAUGUCUGUUUGAGGGUAAGUUUAAAUAAAAAUCGGUGUGGUUGCCGCCUUUCGUGGUGACGCACUGGAUUUGGGUCAUUCUGCCUUCGGUUAAGCGACUUAAAAUUUUGUAUGUUUUUUCCGAACGUAUUUUAAUGAUUUUAUGUAUGUUCGUGUUAUCGAAUACUA
Molecule: unclassified non-coding RNA, 220 nt
Filed under: Glomeraceae sp.
Lineage: Eukaryota; Fungi; Glomeromycota; Glomeromycetes; Glomerales; Glomeraceae
Description: partial contains 5.8S ribosomal RNA and internal transcribed spacer 2
Rfam family: 5.8S ribosomal RNA (bases 1-71)
Source: RNAcentral